Molecule: ribosomal RNA, 1446 nt
Filed under: uncultured organism
Description: 16S ribosomal RNA
Rfam family: Bacterial small subunit ribosomal RNA
Source: RNAcentral
CAGGCUUAACACAUGCAAGUCGAGGGGCAGCAUGGUCUUAGCUUGCUAAGGCCGAUGGCGACCGGCGCACGGGUGAGUAACACGUAUCCAACCUGCCGUCUACUCUUGGACAGCCUUCUGAAAGGAAGAUUAGUACAAGAUGGCAUCAUGAGUCCGCAUGUUCACAUGAUUAAAGGUAUUCCGGUAGACGAUGGGGAUGCGUUCCAUUAGAUAGUAGGCGGGGUAACGGCCCACCUAGUCUUCGAUGGAUAGGGGUUCUGAGAGGAAGGUCCCCCACAUUGGAACUGAGACACGGUCCAAACUCCUACGGGAGGCAGCAGUGAGGAAUAUUGGUCAAUGGGCGAGAGCCUGAACCAGCCAAGUAGCGUGAAGGAUGACUGCCCUAUGGGUUGUAAACUUCUUUUAUAAAGGAAUAAAGUCGGGUAUGGAUACCCGUUUGCAUGUACUUUAUGAAUAAGGAUCGGCUAACUCCGUGCCAGCAGCCGCGGUAAUACGGAGGAUCCGAGCGUUAUCCGGAUUUAUUGGGUUUAAAGGGAGCGUAGAUGGAUGUUUAAGUCAGUUGUGAAAGUUUGCGGCUCAACCGUAAAAUUGCAGUUGAUACUGGAUAUCUUGAGUGCAGUUGAGGCAGGCGGAAUUCGUGGUGUAGCGGUGAAAUGCUUAGAUAUCACGAAGAACUCCGAUUGCGAAGGCAGCCUGCUAAGCUGCAACUGACAUUGAGGCUCGAAAGUGUGGGUAUCAAACAGGAUUAGAUACCCUGGUAGUCCACACGGUAAACGAUGAAUACUCGCUGUUUGCGAUAUACUGCAAGCGGCCAAGCGAAAGCGUUAAGUAUUCCACCUGGGGAGUACGCCGGCAACGGCGAAACUCAAAGGAAUUGACGGGGGCCCGCACAAGCGGAGGAACAUGUGGUUUAAUUCGAUGGUACGCGAGGAACCUUACCCGGGCUUAAAUUGCAGAUGAAUUACGGUGAAAGCCGUAAGCCGCAAGGCAUCUGUGAAGGUGCUGCAUGGUUGUCGUCAGCUCGUGCCGUGAGGUGUCGGCUUAAGUGCCAUAACGAGCGCAACCCUUGUUGUCAGUUACUAACAGGUUCCGCUGAGGACUCUGACAAGACUGCCAUCGUAAGAUGUGAGGAAGGUGGGGAUGACGUCAAAUCAGCACGGCCCUUACGUCCGGGGCUACACACGUGUUACAAUGGGGGGUACAGAGGGCCGCUACCACGCGAGUGGAUGCCAAUCCCCAAAACCUCUCUCAGUUCGGACUGGAGUCUGCAACCCGACUCCACGAAGCUGGAUUCGCUAGUAAUCGCGCAUCAGCCACGGCGCGGUGAAUACGUUCCCGGGCCUUGUACACACCGCCCGUCAAGCCAUGGGAGCCGGGGGUACCUGAAGUGCGUAACCGCGAGGAGCGCCCUAGGGUAAAACUGGUGACUGGGGCUAAGUCAUAACA